This is a long non-coding RNA of Balaenoptera acutorostrata (minke whale), 4282 nucleotides long. RefSeq lists it as uncharacterized. The transcript has 4 exons. Lineage: Eukaryota; Metazoa; Chordata; Mammalia; Artiodactyla; Balaenopteridae. The record is from RefSeq and is a predicted model, not a curated record.
UCGCCGCCGCUGUUCAUUGGCAGGCAGCGCCGCUUUCAUCAUUUCUCAGAAAAGUCAAUUUCAUUUUCACUUCCCCACGUCGCGGCAGCGGGAGCAACAAGCGGCUGCGCUAGCUGAGUGUGUAACCAUUUGAAGGGCAGCUGUCAUCAGGGACACCGCCUGGAGCUCCGUCUGGGGGCGAAAAGGAAGGCCUUCCCCUAGUAAGUCACCAGCAGCGUCCUCCCAGACUGAGUGUGCAACGGAAGUUCCCUCCCUGCAGGAUGAGAUGGGCAAGGAAUGGAACAUCCUAGGACCGUCUACCUGGAUGCGUCAGGACUCAUUUCUUUUCAAGGGAGUCGAGAAAGGAGAGUGAUUACUUGGCCAUGCAGCAAUUGACCUCUCCAUGAUUGAAACUUAAAGAUACGUUCAAGAAAGUUUCAUCUCCACUACAUCCGAAAGGUGCACGACAAUUCACACACACACGUCUCGGCGCUGCCUCCUUCUCCUGAGAUGCAACUCCAAGACAUUUCCUAGCCAUGCUCCUGACAAGCCGGUAAGAACAAGGCAAGACCAACCCCUGCUCUCCUGGAGCUUACAUUCUAGUGGGGGUGAUGUCAACAGACAGACAGACAAACCAAGGAAAUAGUUACAGAUUUGUAUCCGUGUCCUGAGGGAAACAAACAGGACUUUGGAUAGAAAAUACUGGGGGAUCUAGGUGGUUGAGGAAGGUUUCUCAAGGAGAAAAUGACAUUUAAGCCAAAACUUGGAGGAGAGGAGACUGUAUUCAUUUCCUGGGGCUGCCAUAACACAGUACCACAACCCAGGUGGUGGAAGUAACAGAAAUGCAUUGCCUCACAGUUCUGGAAGCUGGAAGUCCAAGAUCAAGGUGUCCACAGGGUUGGCUCCUUCUGAGGGUUAUGGGGGAAGGACCUGUUCCUUGCCUCCUGGCUUCUGGUGGUUGGCCAGCAAUCCUGGGCAUUCUUUGGCUUGUAGCAGCAUCACUCCAUCUCUGCCUUCAUCUUCACGUGGUGUUCUCCCUGGAUGUGUGUCUGUAUCCAAAUUUCCCUGUUUUAUAGGGACACUAGUCUUACUGGAUUAGGGGCCCACCAUACUCCAAUAUGAUCUCAUCUUAAUUCAUUACAUCUGCAAAGACAAUCUGAGGUAUUGCGGGAUUGGGAUUUCAACAUAUGAAUUUUGAGGGGGACACACUUCAACACGUAACUGAUAUCAAUUGUGUGACGAAGCCCCGAGCCAGGGGAAAGAUUGAAGACAAAGGCCCUGAAAAGCAAAAGGGUCUGGCAUAUUCUGGAAACCAAAAGAAGGUGAAUGUGACUUCAGAGUUCUGAAUGAGGGUAAGAAGGACACAGGCAGGUGGGCAGAGGCCAGAUCAAGGACUUUGGAUUUUAUUCUAAGAUCAAUGGGAAGAUUUUGAAGGGUUCUGUGGUUUUAAAAGGUCACGCUAUAAAUUUCCCAACUGUCUCCUCAACAUCAGUGAGAUGCAAGGAUUUCUUAAUUUGUGGAUUUCUCAGAAGAAUUUGUAACUGUUCUUGCACUGACCUCUCAGUUCAUUACAUGAUGAAUUUGUUGAGGAAACAAUGCAUUGGGGAUAUUUUGAAACAGUUUAAUCUUCUUUUUCAUUUCUUUUUGGUAUUCCUAAGGUAUUUCUUUCCCUUUAACUUUCUCUCUGAUUUUCAUCUCCACAAAUAAAUGAAGUAAAUUUUUACUUCAUUCUUUUUACCCUACCCCCAUAAAAAUUUCCCUUAAAAAAAAAGAAGAUAUAUUCAACUGUGGAUUCCAGGCACAUGCUAUUUUCCUCAGACUGCUUUGAGUGAAUGAUGAUAAUUUUCAGAGAUUGUGUCACCACAAAAUCAACAUUCAUUCCAAAAUUUAAUGGUUUCAAAUGUAUUUCUUUUUUUUGAUUUCUAAAAAUUUUCAAAUUUCUUUUCCAUCAGAAACCCCUUGUGUGUAAUAAAUAGUUUCCACAAAACUGAAUUUUUGUUGGCAGAACAAUCGGCGUAAGUAAAACUUCACGAUUUGCCUUGGAUGUUUUGUAAUUUGAAAGCAAAUGUUGAUUUAAACAGCCCACCACUAUUUUCUCAAUGUCCAGCUGUGGAUGCUGGGUUUUUAGCACCACUUCUCUCCGGACAACCAAAAAAAAUAUCACUUUCUUUCCUGUUUUACAUAUUGAGUUUCUGCGUAAGAUUUCAUUUGGGGAAAAGGUUCUGUCGCUUUAAAAAAAAAUGUGAAAAAGAUCAAAGCCACCAAUACUACUGGCAGUUAGUUUUGCUUCAUUUUCCCAUAACUGGAGAUAAGAAAGAAAACACGACAAACCAUAAGUGAAGAACCUUAAGACUGAAGGAGAGAAAGAAAUAUGCAGACCCAGGAACAGACGCCCGACGGAGGGUUGAUGGGUGAGUUCACGCUGGGUGGCUGGGCAGAGCCAGCCUCGGCGGAGGGGCCAACAUUGUAGGUUCACCCUCACUUGAGUUGCUCAGAUUGUCUCCAUAUUUCCUACCUUGAUGAGAACUUUUCAUCUUUUCAGGGAUGCAGAACCAACAGAUUCAUGACGACUCGUUUCACAAUGUAUGUGGUUGAUGUCAUGUUUAUAUGACACUUUUCACCAAGCCUUUUCCCUCAUUGAGAAAUUACAGGAACACUAACCCAGCCCUGUCAUCUUCCACAAUGCUUACAAAUAUUUUACCACAUAUACACUCUUAUUGGUAUUUUUGCUUAUGAUGAACUUAAGAUAGUAGGAAAUUUAUGCUCCAUUGAGGAUAAAAGGAAAACAAAGUUUUAUAUGUACAGUAAGGUCACCCUAAAGAUGUUCAUAUAAGUAAGGUGAAAAGGAACUACAUCAAAACAUUAAUAGUGGGUGUCUUUGAGGAGUGGAACUAUGGGUGAUUUUCUUCCUUUUGAAAAAUUAACAUUUUUAAGAAUAGAUUUUCCUUUUAUUAAUGUAAACAUUUUAAUAUAUUUUUAUAGGUGAUUUCAGAAAAUUGUUUCUUGAUAUGCUUAUGAUUUUUAUGUAAAGGACUUGUAAGGUUUUUUUUUAAUUUAUUUAUUUUAUUUUUGGCUGCGUUGGGUCUUCGUUGCUGUGCGUGGGCUUUUCUCUAGUUGCAGUGAAUGGGGGCUACUCUUCGCUGCAGUGCACGGGCUUCUCAUCACGGUGGCUUCUCUUGUUGCAGAGCACGGCCUCUAGGCGUGCGGGCUUCAGUAGUUGUGGCAUGCGGGCUCAGUAGUUGUGGCUCACAGGUUUUAGAGCACAGGCUCAGUAGUUGUGGCGCACGGGCUUAGUUGCUCGUGGCAUGUGGGAUCUUCCCGGACCAGGGCUCGAACCCAUGUCCCCUGCAUUGGCAGGCAGAUUCUUAACCACUGCACCACCAGGGAAGCCUGACUUGUAAGUUUUAGCUAGUUUUAUCCAUGGGACUUCAAAAAACAAAGCACUGGUUAAUACAUCUUAUAUUUUACACUACAUUCUUAUAAGAAUUUUUAAAUCUCUGUGUAGAAGAUAAUUUUUUCCUACAAAUGCUAUAUAGUUUCUCCCAGUCUUCAAUUUUAUCAAAAUAUUCAUUUUUAAUGACUCUCCAAACAGGACUCUCCAAAGGAACAUAUAAAAACAAACUAACGUGUGUCCAGAUCAAUGGCUAUUAAUAAGUGAUACAUUCCAUAAUCAUUAUUAAUAUUUAAAUAAGCUUUUGCUUUGAUUCACAUCAUGUUUUAAAUAUGCCAUUUGAAAAAGUUUGACUUAGGAGAAAUCUAUAACAACUAAAGAAUCUCUUCUACUUGUAAAGUUUCAUUUCAUUUGUAUGCAAGAAUAUUACUAUAUUCUUAGCAAUCAAAUUCAAAUUCUUAGAUCUCAAACAUGAAUGAAGACUGUAAGCAAAAUAUCAAAAUUUUAUGUUAAAUUUUUUCUUUUUUUGCCUUUCUUCUUUCUGGCACUUUCACAUUUAGUCAUCAUAUUUCCUAUUUUGCUUGCUCAAUUUCCACGUAUAACAGGAUUAGCAGAAGGGAGAGAAAACAACUCAUUUGAAGGCAGUAAAGGGUAGGAUGUCUCUCUUUCUGUCUCUGUCUCUGUCUCUCUCUCACACACACACACACACACACACACACACACACACACAGUAGAGGAGGAUUCUCUGCAUACAGAAAUUCAAUUCAGAACAUUUUUCCCACAGAAGUAAUAAGAAACCAUGAUGGUACAAGUAUAUAGUUUUCCUUCAUUAUGGGUUAAAUUAAGAGUUUGUGGGCUGGCCCGGGAAUACACCAUUUUAUAACAUUGUACACAUGGGAAACUUUCAUUCUG